Molecule: long non-coding RNA, 331 nt
Filed under: Capsicum annuum
Lineage: Eukaryota; Viridiplantae; Streptophyta; Magnoliopsida; Solanales; Solanaceae
Description: long non-coding RNA (CANN_LNC020195)
Source: RNAcentral
UUUAAAUUUGUUAUUUUAGUUUUUUCGCAGUGUAUUUGGAUUCUAGUAUAACCAUCAGUAACUAGUACUAAUUAGCCCAAAAUUAUUACUUAUUCUAUUAUGUCUUAAUUUACGGGACCCAUUAUUCUUUUUAAUCCGUUCGAGAAAAAUGUUAUGAUAAAAAAGUCACAACAAAAAUUCAAACAUUAUUAUGUCCAUGCAGAUUGCAGCAGCCCCAUAGUCAGUGGCGGAUCCAGCUCAUAAUGAGGGUGUUCAUCUGAAUCUUCUUUGGCUGAAAAUUAUAUUAUGUAUACAAGCUUAAAAUUAUUUUUCAUGUAUGUAUAGUUAACGC